AGGAAACCCCCUGGGUUGACAAUCUUAUCCAGCCGCUGAGCAGGCACAGCCCAGGCAAUGGCAGCACAAGCUUUCUACAUAGUGGCCACUGAUGUGCUUCAGCUCUGAUCUGGAGACCAGCUCUAGGGAUGAGAAGGGAGUUGUCUCCAUGGCUAGUUCAAUCCCUGGCCUUC
This 173-nucleotide small RNA is filed under the name Chrysemys picta bellii (western painted turtle). Its description in RNAcentral is "TUC338 (ENSCPBG00000001851.1)". The record is from RNAcentral. Lineage: Eukaryota; Metazoa; Chordata; Testudines; Emydidae.